Molecule: ribosomal RNA, 246 nt
Filed under: Mantidactylus catalai
Lineage: Eukaryota; Metazoa; Chordata; Amphibia; Anura; Mantellidae
Description: partial 16S ribosomal RNA
Source: RNAcentral
UUUAAACCCAAUUAUAUCUCUAACCACUAUAACCAUUUAACCACUUAGAACUUAUAUACUUGGUUUUAGGUUGGGGCGACCACGGAGCACAACCAAACCUCCACGAUGAACGGAACAACCCCCUUAUCUGAGAAUUACACUUCUAAGAAUUAGCACACUAACAUAAAAUGACCCAUUAUUGAUCAACGAACCAAGUUACCCUGGGGAUAACAGCGCAAUCCAUUUUAAGAGCCCCUAUCGACAAAU